Molecule: ribosomal RNA, 452 nt
Filed under: uncultured organism
Description: partial 16S ribosomal RNA
Rfam family: Bacterial small subunit ribosomal RNA
Source: RNAcentral
UACACUCCUACGGGAGGCAGCAGUGGGGAAUAUUGGACAAUGGGCGCAAGCCUGAUCCAGCCAUGCCGCGUGAGUGAUGAAGGCCCUAGGGUUGUAAAGCUCUUUCACCGGUGAAGAUAAUGACGGUAACCGGAGAAGAAGCCCCGGCUAACUUCGUGCCAGCAGCCGCGGUAAUACGAAGGGGGCUAGCGUUGUUCGGAUUUACUGGGCGUAAAGCGCACGUAGGCGGACUAUUAAGUCAGGGGUGAAAUCCCGGGGCUCAACCCCGGAACUGCCUUUGAUACUGGUAGUCUUGAGUUCGAGAGAGGUGAGUGGAAUUCCGAGUGUAGAGGUGAAAUUCGUAGAUAUUCGGAGGAACACCAGUGGCGAAGGCGGCUCACUGGCUCGAUACUGACGCUGAGGUGCGAAAGCGUGGGGAGCAAACAGGAUUAGAUACCCGUGUAGUCCCAUGA